Molecule: ribosomal RNA, 253 nt
Filed under: uncultured bacterium
Lineage: Bacteria
Description: partial 16S ribosomal RNA
Rfam family: Bacterial small subunit ribosomal RNA
Source: RNAcentral
UACGUAGGGUGCAAGCGUUGUCCGGAAUUAUUGGGCGUAAAGAGCUCGUAGGCGGUCUGUCGCGUCGGAUGUGAAAAUCCAGGGCUCAACCCUGGACCUGCAUUCGAUACGGGCAGACUAGAGUUCGGUAGGGGAGACUGGAAUUCCUGGUGUAGCGGUGAAAUGCGCAGAUAUCAGGAAGAACACCGGUGGCGAAGGCGGCUCUCUGGGCCUUACCUGACGCUGAGGAGCGAAAGCGUGGGUAGCGAACAGG